CGUGGGCGUUGGAAAUUUGAGAGGAGCUGUCCUUAGUACGAGAGGACCGGGAUGGACACACCGCUGGUGUACCAGUUGUUCCGCCAGGAGCAUAGCUGGGUAGCUACGUGUGGAAGGGAUAAGUGCUGAAAGCAUCUAAGCAUGAAGCCCCCCUUUAGAUGAGAUUUCCCAUCAUUUGAAAUGAGUAAGAUUCCUCAAAGACGAUGAGGUAGAUAGGUCCGAGGUGGAAGCGUGGUGACACGUGCAGCUGACGGAUACUAAUCAAUCGAGGACUUAACUUA
Molecule: ribosomal RNA, 281 nt
Filed under: Salinibacillus xinjiangensis
Lineage: Bacteria; Bacillati; Bacillota; Bacilli; Caryophanales; Bacillaceae
Description: Bacterial large subunit ribosomal RNA
Rfam family: Bacterial large subunit ribosomal RNA
Source: Rfam by way of RNAcentral